RNAcentral lists this ribosomal RNA (660 nucleotides) under uncultured Crater Lake bacterium CL500-74. RNAcentral's name for it is "bacterial SSU rRNA". It matches the Rfam family "Bacterial small subunit ribosomal RNA", at positions 8 to 668 of the family's 1533-position model. The record is from RNAcentral.
AGAGUUUGAUCCUGCUCAGAUUGAACGCUGCGGCAUGCUUACACAUGCAAGUCGAACGGUACAGGUGUAGCAUACAUGCUGACGAGUGCGGACGGGUGAGAAUGCUUGGAAUCUGCCUGUUAGUGGGGGACAACCCGGGGAAACUCGGGCUAAUACCGCAUACGCUUCUACGGAGGAAAGCGGGGGACCGUAAGGCCUCGCGCUAACAGAUGAGCCCAAGUCGGAUUAGCUAGUUGGUGGGGUAAAGGCCUACCAAGGCUACGAUCCGUAGCUGGUCUGAGAGGACGAUCAGCCACACUGGGACUGAGACACGGCCCAGACUCCUACGGGAGGCAGCAGUGGGGAAUAUUGGACAAUGGGGGCAACCCUGAUCCAGCAAUGCCGCGUGUGUGAAGAAGGCCUGCGGGUUGUAAAGCACUUUUGGCAGGGAUGAAAAGCACUGGAUUAAUAACCCAGUGUGUUGACCUAACCUGCAGAAGAAGCACCGGCUAACUCUGUGCCAGCAGCCGCGGUAAUACAGGGGGUGCGAGCGUUAAUCGGAAUUACUGGGCGUAAAGGGCGCGUAGGCGGUCGAGUAAGUCGGAUGUGAAAUCCCCGGGCUUAACCUGGGAAUUGCAUUCGAUACUGCUUGGCUAGAGUGUGGAAGAGGGAAGCGGAAUU